Molecule: ribosomal RNA, 273 nt
Filed under: uncultured prokaryote
Description: partial 16S ribosomal RNA
Rfam family: Bacterial small subunit ribosomal RNA
Source: RNAcentral
UACGGGGGGUGCUAGCGUUAUUCGGAAUCAUUGGGCGUAAAGGGCGCGUAGGCGGUCUUUUAAGUCAGAUGUGAAAGCCCUCGGCUUAACUGAGGAAGUGCAUUUGAUACUAAAAGACUUGAGUAUGGGAGAGGGAAGCGGAAUUCCUGGUGUAGCGGUGAAAUGCGUAGAUAUCAGGAGGAACACCGGUGGCGAAGGCGGCUUCCUGGACCAAUACUGACGCUGAGGCGCGAAGGCGUGGGGAGCAAACAGGAUUAGAAACCCGUGUAGUCC